CCUACGGGUGGCUGCAGUGGGGAAUAUUGGACAAUGGGGGGAACCCUGAUCCAGCCAUGCCGCGUGUGUGAAGAAGGCCCUCGGGUUGUAAAGCACUUUCAGUGAGGAAGAACGCCUGGUGGUUAAUACCCAUCAGGUAAGACAUCACUCACAGAAGAAGCACCGGCUAACUCCGUGCCAGCAGCCGCGGUAAUACGGAGGGUGCGAGCGUUAAUCGGAAUUACUGGGCGUAAAGCGCGCGUAGGUGGCUUGAUAAGCCGGUUGUGAAAGCCCCGGGCUCAACCUGGGAACGGCAUCCGGAACUGUCAAGCUAGAGUGCAGGAGAGGAAGGUAGAAUUCCAGGUGUAGCGGUGAAAUGCGUAGAGAUCGGGAGGAAUACCAGUGGCGAAGGCGGCCUUCUGGACUGACACUGACACUGAGGUGCGAAAGCGUGGGUAGCAAACAGGAUUAGAUACCCUGGUAGUC
This 465-nucleotide ribosomal RNA is filed under the name Vreelandella stevensii. Its description in RNAcentral is "partial 16S ribosomal RNA". It matches the Rfam family "Bacterial small subunit ribosomal RNA", at positions 338 to 795 of the family's 1533-position model. Lineage: Bacteria; Pseudomonadati; Pseudomonadota; Gammaproteobacteria; Oceanospirillales; Halomonadaceae. The record is from RNAcentral.